UUUGACAUCCCCAGAUUGCGGAAAUUCCAUUAGGAGUUGGGAACUUGAUGCCCAGAUGGUAGGUCGAUGGCACUGCUUUCAUGGUGUUUAUCCAAGGCGUUCCCAUGAUCACGUUGUAAAUGGCCUGAUUGUCGACUACUGCAAAGUCGAUGAUUUCUGUGAUUUCUUUCACCAUGACCGGGAGCUUGAUCAAUCCGAGAGUCAUUGAUGUUAUGCUAGAAAAACUGGUUAAGAGUUUCAGAAUUGGCAUGACUUCUCCAAGAUUGAUGUUCAUCCUGAUGUGCCCUUGGGUAGCGCACCGGGC
This 304-nucleotide long non-coding RNA is filed under the name Brassica napus (rape). Its description in RNAcentral is "long non-coding RNA (BNAP_LNC009940)". The record is from RNAcentral. Lineage: Eukaryota; Viridiplantae; Streptophyta; Magnoliopsida; Brassicales; Brassicaceae.